UACGCCGAGAGAGAUAAUGAUGAAAUCCAGUGUGGAUAGACUUUUUAUUCUCCUCCACAAGUCCACGCUAUGCCGCUUCCGGGAGAGAAUGAUGAAAUCUACGUGAUGCGCGGCUCCGGCAUUCCAGAUGACUUUGCCCAGUUUGGCAGUCCGAAGUGCACUCAACCGGAGAACUUGAAGAAGACAGCUUCUUUCCAAAAGGCCACUAAACUAAUCCAUAUUGUAGCGAAGUAGCAGAGUGGAUUGUUGGACAAAGUCGUGGAACAUUUGAGGUGGAUUAUUCCAAACUCAUUGUUGGAAUGUGCUCAUUGUGCAAUGAAAUGUCGAUUUUGUGAUCGAUUUAUUUUGACUGCUGCCCAGAUUUCAAAAUCUCUUAAGAGAUACAAUAUCUCUUGCUAUGCCUUCUAUUUCCCAAUUGUUAGCUUUCUGUGGCUGGCUGACGCAACAGACGGCAUUUGAGAAGUCACUUUCUAUGAUGAACUUUUUUAUCUGCUGCGUGUGUGCUUCUUGCACUCCAACGAAGGCUGCCAUGGCCUCCCCUUGCUUCGGAUUAGUGCUAGUACUUGUGAAUUUGGUUACCACAAAUCUCAUGGAUCCAUUGUGUGAUCUGAAAACUGUUGCAGCUAUGCUGCCUUCUUUUCUAACUGCUAUAUCAAAUGUGAUUGAGAAGAUAUCUUUUGAAGAGGGUGGAAUCCAUUUGGGAGUAGUUUCAACAUUUUUCCAUGUCUAAGCUUUACAGUGUUCCUUAUAGAUUUCUGAGGUAUUUUUGACUAAAUGACCUAUUAUUGGGAUUUUGAAAUCAUGAGGUAUUUGGUUUCUAGUGAACUAGAGAUUAUCCAUUGCUAGAACAACAAAAAUUUGGAAAUGAUGGGAUUCACUGACCGAAAAUUUUAACUAGUUUUGUAGGAUUCAAAAUCUGAUUUAUCUAGUUUUUGAUACCUACAUGUAGAAAAGAUGAGAUGUCCAAAGGCCAGGCACAUGGCCUUCACAAGAUUCUUGUAUAAGGACAAUUCAAGAAAAGAUGGUCAGUGGUUUCUACUUCUAAUUGGCAGAUUGGACAAUAUUUCUGGUCUUCUGUUAAAGAAAUACAGUUACUAAGUAAGAACUUAGCAGGCAAGACAUUAUUAGAAAUUUUUCAGAGUAGCAGCUUUAAACAAUCUUGCAUUUUUAAGGACCAAAGUUUUUUCCAAUCAAUGGUAGGAUGAGAUUCAUUUUGUUCAUUGGAUUGGAGAAUAAUUGCAGCAUCGGCUGAUUUAACAAAAAAUUUGCCUGAUGAAUGAUGAAUCCGUCUGGGGAAGUCAGAUUGAUUAUGAAAAUGAUAUUGAGUGAGAUGGAUUUUUUGGAUUUCAACUACUGAUUCUUGUGAGAACAGAGCUUGGAUGAGAAUAGUGUUCCAUCUCCUAGGUUCCUCUAAUGUAAGUUCUGAAACUCUCAAAUGAAGAUCUUUCACUAUAUUGGGAGACUAAGGUCCAGGAAUUGAUGAGUUUAGUGUGGGAAUACAGAGAUCAGACCAGACUCUAGUAUCAACCCCGUUGUUAAUAUGGAAGCAGACACUGAAACUUAUGAAAUUUCUUUGCUUAAUCAGACCUGUCUAGAAUCUGGAAUUUGUGGGUUUGGCAGUGACUGAUUGCCAUGAAAGAUUUGUCAGAUAUAUUUUGGACAAAGUUUUUUUCCAAAUGCUAUUUUCCGCACUCAUUAGGUGCCAACCUAGUUUGUUUAGCAAAGCUUUGUUAAAAUUAGCUGCUUAUCUAAGGCCUAGACCACUCAAUGAUUUAGGUUUACAGAUUGAUUUUUAGGAUUUUGGAGUAAAGUUGUGGGUUUUGUUAGGCUCAAAUCCCCACCAGAACCUCAUUAAAGCUCUAUAAAUCUGACUAUAAAUAUUUUUUGGGGGCCAUAUGGUGGACAUGGUGUAGGAGAGUAUAACACUAGCCACUAGUUUGAUGAGUGUAGUUCUACCAACUUGAGAUAAAAGCUUGGUUUUCCAGCCAGCUAAUUUGUCUUGAAUUCUAACCAAGAUCUCCUUGAAGUUAUGAUAAGGAUCCACAAUUAAGGGAAAGGCCCAGAUAUUUGAUCCUAGAGGAAGAUAUUUUAAGGUUGAGAAUUUCUCACUCCUCUAGUGAUGGUUGGUCUACUAUUUAUGUUGAAUUGAAUGAUGUAGGAUUUUGAAUGACUCCUUAAUACACAAAAAAACUUUUCAGUUUCUAUGCCCAAGAAUUCCCUAGUUUCUACUUUUCAAAAUAAUUUAUUAUAUUACAUCUAAAUUCAUUUGUCUUCAAGAUGAAAUUAGAUAAGAUGAGAUGUUUUGAGAUAAAAAUUAUGAAAAUUGAAUAAAAUAUUAUUAAAAUUUAUAUUUUUUAUUUUUUGAGAUUUUAAAAAGUUAAAUUGUUUAUUUUAUUUUAUAUAAAAAUUUGAAAAAUUUAUAAUGAUUAAAUGACAUGAGAUAAAAUGAGAUGAGUUAAGUAAUGUUAUGAAAACAAACAAGUGCUACAGCUACAAGGAGGUUUCACAAAAAAACCUUUUUGGCUUUUUAAAGGUCAUAACACUUUGCACUCUUUCAUUUAUAGCAUUCAAUAAACCAAAAACCCUUUUUGGUUUCUAACCCUAAAAGACUUUUACGUUUCUUUUAAAAAGACAGGAAAUUCUAAAGAUGAGUGACGUUACAGUCACAAUGUGCAUGGUCUCACAAAAGUAAACUCAUAAAUUGGAAUUACUUCGUAUAAUAUGUUAAAUCUAACUUAUAAUAAAAGUAAUUUUAUAAUAUAACGUACCGUAUUAAAUCAUAUUAAUUUAUGAGUUUAUUUUUGUAAAAUCUAUUUAUAAUUAAAGUACUUCUUAAUUUUAAAUGCUAAAAACAUUUUGUAUUCUUUUAUUUAUAUAUUCUUGGUACAUACUCACUCGUAGAUGAUUGGUGUCAGAAUUUUUUAUUGAUUAGGUGAGAUCAAUCUCAUCCACGUGAGAAUUAAGUCCACAUGAGAAUUAAUUCCUCUUCCGACUUGUCCCAAAUUGGGCGCUAUGGCCAAAAAUAUAAAGAACAAAACAAAAGGACAAACUUGUCCCAUAGUUACAAAAAUGAUGGCAUAUGAUCCAAUCUAGUAAUAUGCAAUCUGCCAAAAUCAACCAAAAUAAUCGUUGGUGAAUAUAGGCUUGUGCAUAAAAGGGCUUGGCCCGAUCAAUCUGAGACAUGGGCCCACCCAACUAAAGUUGGGUUCAACUAGUCAAACCCAAUAUUAGGUUUAUUAUACCUAAUAUCGGUCAAAACCGAUCACCUGAAGAAAAAGAACCAACACCCACUCAAUGCUCAGAGCUAUUCUCCAUUUCUCCUCGAGUCCUUAAAUCCCAACCUCUCUCCAAACAAGUUAAAUGCGAAGGCAUAGUCCAAUAAGGGGAAGAUAUUCCAAACACCUAGAGAGCUACUGAGCUAGAGCGUUAUAAAACGCUUGCUACAGCCAUGAAACAUCUUUCAACCUCUCAUUAGCAUAGAGAACUGCACAAGAGUUCCAAACCCCGUUUUAAUGUAUUCUCGUCUCAUGAUCUAAACACAUUCAUGCUCAAUCAGGUGCCCCCACUUUAACAGCACAUGCUACAAGGAAGAGGUGGUGCCGAUUUUGAUUCCAAUCCAUCAUCUUUCUCCUCACUUAAGUCAUCUUCAUUGAAGAGUAUGGGAAGGGGGAGUGGUUCUUGGGUAGGGAGGGGACGGAAUCGCCAAUGGUGGAGGGGUGGUGGCAUUUGGGGCAAGGGAUGGUGGGUUUGGGAGGGGCAGAGUAGGAGGAAGAUGAAGUAGAAAAGGAGGGAGGGUGAUGUGGGAGAGGCAGAGUUUGCAGAAGUAGUGACCACAUUGGAGCAAGAGUGGGGCGUGGGAGUCCUCCUCAUAUGGAGUUUGGCAAAUUAAGCAACUCAAGAUCUAGAUCUUCUUCUUUGAAUUCGAUGGAGAUUUCUUUGGCAUGGAGCUUGGUUGAUGGAAUCGGAAUGGUUGUGAAAAAUGAAAGACUUUUAUGGUUGGGAUAGAACUUUGAAGAAAAAGAAAUCUGGGGAGACGAAGGGGGAGGGAGGAUCAAAAGCAAAGUAAGGAGAAUGGGUUUUACUCGAUCCGAAAUUUGCAGGUCGGCUCAGGUCAGGUCAGGUCGAGUUGGUGUGGCCUUCCCUACAAGCCGGGCUAGGACGGGUUGGACCCAAAGUAUGGUUUGGGUGGGUCAGUGUGCAGGCCUAGGUGAAUAGGACAAAACUACUUGAGCUACACACACUUUUAAAGAAAGCUAAUCAUAUUUUCUUUAUUAGGUUGACAUAUUUAAAAAAAAAAAAAAAAAAAAAAGGCCUCUUUAAUAGAUCUUGUCUUUUUUUGGUUGAACCACGUCAUCCAUUAUAUUCAUACGUUAAAUGGCAAAAAAAAUUUUAAAAAUUAGAAAAUUCUUAAAAUUUUAAAUGUCAAAAACACAUCUUUAUUUAUUUGUAAUAUUUUGUCUUCUAUGUCUCUGGGGCGCAUACAUGUAUAUAUAUAUAUAUAUUCAGUUUCAUACUCGUUACUUGUGUUGGAGAUAUUAUGAUCUUGAUUUGAUAUUAUCUUGUAUGAUUUUUAUAAUUAUUAAAUUAAAGUUGAUUAGAAUACUAUCUAGAUUAAGUUGAUGUAUAUAAUUACUUUGAUUUGAAUAACUCUUUAUUUCACUUGGCCUCUUUCUCUAUAAAUAGAGAUCUACGCGCGCAUUGUAUUCAUGACAAAAAAUAAUGGAAAAGAUAUAAUCCUCAAAUUCUCUUUCACUCCUCUCUUUUCCAUCAUUUCUAUUCUCAAUAGGUAUGAAUACAUGCAAGGAAUGUAUAAUAAAAAGUUUCUUUUUUAUGUCAAAAAUGAUAUUUAUUCUUCUUCAGUACGUUUUCUUUCUUUCUUUCUUCCUUUUUUUUUUUUUUUUUUUUUUUUUUUUUUUUGUAUGAGAAAUCGAAGUGACUUGGAAAUGAUAUAAGAAUAUAGAUUUGAAACCAGCUUUUAGUUUUUUAAAUAAAGUUUCCUCAGUUUUUAAUUUUCCAAACCGUCUGUAUAUGGACAUAUACAUAUCAUGUGUGUGUGUGUAUAUAUAUAUAUAUUAUUCAGAUUUUUGAAAUUUCUACCUUAAUUUUUCGUUGUUUGGUUGUAUAUAUAUGUACGUAGGGAUUUUUAGGCUUCCUCAUCCGCAAUUUCAAUGGAUGUGUUGGAAUACCCCAGAUCAUGGGCAUAGAAGGUAGCGAAUGAGAUGAUCUAAUCUAAUCAUAUAUUCUUGGAAAAAAGAGAUCGAUCAGUUCUAAUAUAUAUAUAUAUAUAACCAUUGAUUGAUCCGCUUCAAACAUAGGCCUAAAGAUAGUUUGUUUCAAGUGACAUCUAAACCAAUCCAACCAAAAUGUGAAACUUAAAUUGUGCCACCUGCAUAUAUGUGAUGUAAUAGCCUAUAUAUCGAGGACAGUAGGAAUUUAAAGGAGGUUAUUACCCUAGAUGAGUAUAGAAUUAGGUUAACGGAAUUUGCCUUUUAUAAUGAUUUCAAACAACUUCAAUUAUAGCAAUGACUCGUACUUAUUAAUGUAGAGUAUGGGCCCAAUUAAUGUUGUUUAAGCUUUUCUCGAAUCCACUUUAUUAUCAACUAAAACAGGCUUGGAAAAUGAAUAUCUUCUCAUCACAGGCCCCAAAUAUAUAUGUGUGUGUGUAAUUUAAUUCAUGAAUAUCUGCAUCAACUUUUUCUUGGUAUAUUCUCUCUCUUCUCUAGGAAUAUCAGGGAAAGAUUAAUCUUUUCGUGUAGAGCUAGCUGUAAGACUUUUAGUAAAAUUCUAUGUCCUACACAUCCAUAUCCUAAUAGGUUUAAAUUAACUCAAAUAUUAUCACUUAAUUAAUGAGUCGCAGUAAGACGAGAAUACCUCUAUAUCUAGUCACAGUGUGAUUCGAAAUCUCUAGAAUAUUUUUUGAUAGCCAAAAGUCUACAAAUAGCACUAAGAGUGACCCUUCUCUCAUAAUCCAGUUAGAUUCUUUCUUGAACUGAGAUGGAUAAAGAUACAUUUUUUAACUGUUAUUAUUUUAUUUUCGUGGAUUAUAGAAAAUCAAAGAUUAUUAUAUUUAAUUUUUCAUGUUAAAAUAUUUAACACUAGCUAGCUAGCUGAAUGAGCGGUUAAGGCUACUGAAUGGGCGGUUAAGGAAGGAAAUAUGAGCUUACGUAUGAUAAUUGGUUUGGAAAGACCGGAUUUAUUGGCUUAAAAAGUCGGUGGUCAAACAAAAAGGUUCAAACUUAGGAGGUCACGUCUUCAUCUAGGUGGAAUUUACAGAAAUUACAAGAACAUCUAGGAUCAGAUUUGGCAUCUCAGAUUGAUGUUUUACCUUAUUGUUCUUAAUUAAAGGGCGGAAGAUAUACCUGUUUGGAUGGCUAAUUAAUAAGGAGGGGUCUAAUUUUAAGUUUUAUCUGCCAAGAUCUAGGUUUUUAUGUGGAGAUGUUUUCAUAAUAGAACUCUUCCCUUUUGAUUCUAAUGUACACUAGCUUAUCAUUUCGAUUGUCUUCUUAUGUGAUUGU
Molecule: RNA transcript, 6515 nt
Organism: Carya illinoinensis
Lineage: Eukaryota; Viridiplantae; Streptophyta; Magnoliopsida; Fagales; Juglandaceae
Gene name: protein FAR-RED IMPAIRED RESPONSE 1-like
Exons: 3
Source: RefSeq, a predicted model, not a curated record